UUUCCGUAGGUGAACCUGCAGAAGGAUCAUUAUUGUAUAACCGAGGCGCGAGGGCUGUCGCUGAACCGAGAGGCCGUGCACGCCCGAGUGCACUCACACACAUCCAUCUCACCCCUAUGUGCACCACCGCGUGGGUCCCCCUUUGGCUUGUUCGGAGGCGAGCUUACGUUUUCGCUAAAACUUUGUAUGAAGUGUAGAAUGUAUUUUUUGUUUUUGCGAUCACGCAAUCAAUACAACUUUCAACAACGGAUCUCUUGGCUCUC
Molecule: unclassified non-coding RNA, 263 nt
Filed under: plant metagenome
Description: partial contains small subunit ribosomal RNA, internal transcribed spacer 1, and 5.8S ribosomal RNA
Source: RNAcentral